AAGUCGUAACAAGGUUUCCGUAGGUGAACCUGCGGAAGGAUCAUUAACACAAAAAGUGUGCUGUGUUUCAUUAUACACACAUUUUUUCACCCCCCUCUUGCAAACCUGUUUUUUUAUUACUGUUCUUCCCAUGAUGUAAACGAAAAAUACAGACAGUAGUUUCUUUGCUUUCGUAGCGAAAAACAAUGGUUUGUAUGUAUGUUUACGUUAUGUGGUUUUACUUAUUUUACCCCUUGAACUUUUUAUUAGACUGAUGACAAACCUUAAAACAGUUUGUUGAUAUAUCUAAACGCUGAACAACUCUUAGCAACGGAUAUCUUGGCUCUC
This 327-nucleotide unclassified non-coding RNA is filed under the name fungal sp. RNAcentral describes it as "partial internal transcribed spacer region". The stretch from base 1 to 46 matches the Rfam family "Eukaryotic small subunit ribosomal RNA", at positions 1786 to 1831 of the family's 1831-position model. The record is from RNAcentral. Lineage: Eukaryota; Fungi.